Cricetulus griseus (Chinese hamster) is the source of this 72-nucleotide small nucleolar RNA. Ensembl annotates it as small nucleolar RNA SNORD113/SNORD114 family. The record is from Ensembl. Lineage: Eukaryota; Metazoa; Chordata; Mammalia; Rodentia; Cricetidae.
UGGGUCUGUGAUGACCACUGGUGGCAUAUGAUUCGUGGAUCAUGAUUACAGGUCUGGAAGUCUGAGGUCCAC